Molecule: ribosomal RNA, 429 nt
Filed under: bacterium
Lineage: Bacteria
Description: partial 16S ribosomal RNA
Rfam family: Bacterial small subunit ribosomal RNA
Source: RNAcentral
UAGGGAAUCUUCGGCAAUGGGGGCAACCCUGACCGAGCAACGCCGCGUGAGUGAAGAAGGUUUUCGGAUCGUAAAGCUCUGUUGUAAGAGAAGAACGUGUGUGAGAGUGGAAAGUUCACACAGUGACGGUAACUUACCAGAAAGGGACGGCUAACUACGUGCCAGCAGCCGCGGUAAUACGUAGGUCCCGAGCGUUGUCCGGAUUUAUUGGGCGUAAAGCGAGCGCAGGCGGUUUAAUAAGUCUGAAGUUAAAGGCAGUGGCUUAACCAUUGUUCGCUUUGGAAACUGUUAAACUUGAGUGCAGAAGGGGAGAGUGGAAUUCCAUGUGUAGCGGUGAAAUGCGUAGAUAUAUGGAGGAACACCGGUGGCGAAAGCGGCUCUCUGGUCUGUAACUGACGCUGAGGCUCGAAAGCGUGAGGAGCAAACAGG